RNAcentral lists this ribosomal RNA (687 nucleotides) under Textularia pseudogramen. Its description in RNAcentral is "eukaryotic LSU rRNA". It matches the Rfam family "Eukaryotic large subunit ribosomal RNA", at positions 656 to 1368 of the family's 3401-position model. Lineage: Eukaryota; Foraminifera; Textulariida; Textulariidae. The record is from RNAcentral.
GAAACACGGACCAAGGAGUUCAACUGGAUUGCGAGUCGUAGAGUAUCAACACAAAACUCAUGCGGCGAAGCGAAAGCAAAAUUUGUGCGAUGUAUAUAUUUUAUAUAUACUGCAGCACGGGCUGAUUAUGGAUAUACGUAGAGAGUUUUCUUUGUGCGUAUACGUAACUUUUUUCCUCGGAAAUUAAUUACGAUUAAUUUAGCUAAAGAGCACUUUAGUUGAGACCCGAAAGAUGGUGAACUAUGCUCGGACAUGGUGAAGCCAGGUGAAAACUUGGUGGAAGCUUGCGUUGUGCGGAACUGACGUGCAAAUCGUUGCCGCCUGACCUGAGUAUAGGGGCGAAAGACUCAUCGAACCAUCUAGUAGCUGGUUCCCUCCGAAGUUUCCCUCAGGAUAGCUCGAAUUUAUUUAAUGAGUAACACAAGGGUAAAGCAAUGAGACGCGGUAUCUGUGGGUCUUAUUUAAAUGACCUCGGCCUUCUCUCAAACUUUAAAUCUGUGCGAUUACGUGCGCUUGCUUAGAAUAUAUAACAUUUAUGUUAUGUAGCGAAGUCACGUUUUUAUAUUGUAUCAAAAAUUCGUAGUGGGCCAUUUCUGGUAAGCAGAACUGGCGAUGAGGGAUUCAACCUGACGUUCUCAAGAUAAGCCGGGCUUAAUCAUAUCUGCUCCAACCUUCCGAUAAACGCGA